GACGAACGCUGGCGGCGUGCUUAACACAUGCAAGUCGAGCGGUAAGGCCCUUUCGGGGGUACACGAGCGGCGAACGGGUGAGUAACACGUGGGUGACCUGCCCUCAGCUCUGGGAUAAGCCUGGGAAACCGGGUCUAAUACCGGAUAUGACUCCAUGACGCAUGUUGGUGGGGUGGAAAGCCUUGUGCGGCUGAGGAUGGGCCCGCGGCCUAUCAGCUUGUUGGUGGGGGAUGGCCUACCAAGGCGACGACGGGUAGCCGGCCUGAGAGGGCGACCGGCCACACUGGGACUGAGACACGGCCCAGACUCCUACGGGAGGCAGCAGGUGGGGAAUCUUGCGCAAUGGGACGAAAGCCUGACGCAGCGACGCCGCGUGAGGGAUGACGGCCUGGUGU
Molecule: ribosomal RNA, 395 nt
Filed under: uncultured bacterium
Lineage: Bacteria
Description: bacterial SSU rRNA
Rfam family: Bacterial small subunit ribosomal RNA
Source: RNAcentral